GAAACUGCGAAUGGCUCAUUAAAUCAGUUAUCGUUUAUUUGAUAGUACCUUACUACUUGGAUAACCGUGGUAAUUCUAGAGCUAAUACAUGCUAAAAACCCCGACUUCGGAAGGGGUGUAUUUAUUAGAUAAAAAACCAAUGCUCUUCGGGGCUCCUUGGUGAUUCAUGAUAACUUAACGAAUCGCAUGGCCUUGUGCCGGCGAUGGUUCAUUCAAAUUUCUGCCCUAUCAACUUUCGAUGGUAGGAUAGUGGCCUACCAUGGUUUCAACGGGUAACGGGGAAUUAGGGUUCUAUUCCGGAGAGGGAGCCUGAGAAACGGCUACCACAUCCAAGGAAGGCAGCAGGCGCGCAAAUUACCCAAUCCCGACACGGGGAGGUAGUGACAAUAAAUACUGAUACAGGGCUCUUUUGAGUCUUGUAAUUGGAAUGAGUACAAUUUAAAUCCCUUAACGAGGAACAAUUGGAGGGCAAGUCUGGUGCCAGCAGCCGCGGUAAUUCCAGCUCCAAUAGCGUAUAUUAAAGUUGUUGCAGUUAAAAAGCUCGUAGUUGAACCUUGGGCCUGGCUGGCCGGUCCGCCUCAC
RNAcentral lists this ribosomal RNA (582 nucleotides) under uncultured fungus. RNAcentral's name for it is "SSU rRNA". It matches the Rfam family "Eukaryotic small subunit ribosomal RNA", at positions 83 to 668 of the family's 1831-position model. The record is from RNAcentral. Lineage: Eukaryota; Fungi.